GAUGAACGCUGGCGGCGUGCCUAACACAUGCAAGUCGAACGGAGUCCAGCCUUAGAGACCUUCGGGUCAAAGAGGGGAAGACUGAGUGGCGGACGGGUGAGUAACACGUGGGCAACCUGGCUCAUAGAGGGGGAUAACAGAGAGAAAUUUCUGCUAAUACCGCAUAAGCACACACUGCCGCAUGGCAGAGUGUGAAAAGAGAAUCGCUAUGAGAUGGACCCGCGUCUGAUUAGCCAGUUGGCAGGGUAAGAGCCUACCAAAGCGACGAUCAGUAGCCGAUUUGAGAGGAUGAACGGCCACAUUGGGACUGAGACACGGCCCAAACUCCUACGGGAGGCAGCAGUGGGGGAUAUUGCACAAUGGGGGGAACCCUGAUGCAGCGACGCCGCGUGAGUGAAGAAGUAUUUCGGUAUGCAAAGCUCUAUCAGCAGGGAAGAUAAUGACAGUACCUAAAUAAGAAGCCCCGGCUAACUACGUG
Molecule: ribosomal RNA, 478 nt
Filed under: uncultured bacterium
Lineage: Bacteria
Description: partial 16S ribosomal RNA
Rfam family: Bacterial small subunit ribosomal RNA
Source: RNAcentral